AUCAGGCAGUGGAGCGCUUUGGGGUGGGGUGACUGCGUACCUUUUGUAUAAUGGGUCAGCGACUUAUAUUCUGUAGCAAGGUUAACCGCAUAGGGGAGCCGAAGGGAAACCGAGUCUUAAUUGGGCGUUAAGUUGCAGGGUAUAGACCCGAAACCCGGUGAUCUAGCCAUGGGCAGGUUGAAGGUUGGGUAACACUAACUGGAGGACCGAACCGACUAAUGUUGAAAAAUUAGCGGAUGACCUGUGGCUGGGGGUGAAAGGCCAAUCAAACCGGGAGAUAGCUGGUUCUCCCCGAAAGCUAUUUAGGUAGCGCCUCGUGAAUUCAUCUCCGGGGGUAGAGCACUGUUUCGGCUAGGGGGCCAUCCCGGCUUACCAACCCGAUGCAAACUGCGAAUACCGGAGAAUGUUAUCACGGGAGACACACGGCGGGUGCUAACGUCCGUCGUGAAGAGGGAAACAACCCAGACCGCCAGCUAAGGUCCCAAAGUCAUGGUUAAGUGGGAAACGAUGUGGGAAGGCCCAGACAGCCAGGAUGUUGGCUUAGAAGCAGCCAUCAUUUAAAGAAAGCGUAAUAGCUCACUGGUCGAGUCGGCCUGCGCGGAAGAUGUAACGGGGCUAAACCAUGCACCGAAGCUGCGGCAGCGACACUUUAGUGUUGUUGGGUAGGGGAGCGUUCUGUAAGCCUGCGAAGGUGGCCUGUGAGGGUUGCUGGAGGUAUCAGAAGUGCGAAUGCUGACAUAAGUAACGAUAAAGCGGGUGAAAAGCCCGCUCGCCGGAAGACCAAGGGUUCCUGUCCAACGUUAAUCGGGGCAGGGUGAGUCGACCCCUAAGGCGAGGCCGAAAGGCGUAGUCGAUGGGAAACGGGUUAAUAUUCCCGUACUUGGUGUUACUGCGAAGGGGGGACGGAGAAGGCUAUGUUGGCCGGGCGACGGUUGUCCCGGUUUAAGCGUGUAGGCUGACUUUCCAGGCAAAUCCGGAGAGUCAAGGCUGAGGCGUGAUGACGAGGCAC
RNAcentral lists this ribosomal RNA (1009 nucleotides) under Salmonella enterica. Its description in RNAcentral is "partial 23S ribosomal RNA". It matches the Rfam family "Bacterial large subunit ribosomal RNA", at positions 567 to 1577 of the family's 2925-position model. Lineage: Bacteria; Pseudomonadati; Pseudomonadota; Gammaproteobacteria; Enterobacterales; Enterobacteriaceae. The record is from RNAcentral.